Molecule: non-coding RNA, 114 nt
Filed under: Vibrio proteolyticus
Lineage: Bacteria; Pseudomonadati; Pseudomonadota; Gammaproteobacteria; Vibrionales; Vibrionaceae
Also listed under: 1 other name
Description: TPP sequence
Rfam family: TPP riboswitch aptamer (THI element)
About the family: Vitamin B(1) in its active form thiamin pyrophosphate (TPP) is an essential coenzyme that is synthesised by coupling of pyrimidine and thiazole moieties in bacteria. The previously detected thiamin-regulatory element, thi box was extended, resulting in a new, highly conserved RNA secondary structure, the THI element, which is widely distributed in eubacteria and also occurs in some archaea.
Source: RNAcentral
AUCGAAUAGUCGGGGGGCCGUUGUCGUUUAACGAUGACAGGCUGAGAUCGCAUUGCGAGACCCGUUGAACCUGAUUCAGUUAGCACUGACGUAGGGAACUAUUGCACCGUUUGC